This 1312-nucleotide long non-coding RNA is filed under the name Homo sapiens (human). RNAcentral describes it as "HSALNT0379682". The record is from RNAcentral. Lineage: Eukaryota; Metazoa; Chordata; Mammalia; Primates; Hominidae.
CAGUGAGGGUCGCCGCGGCGGCGCGCAGCACGGCGGGAACAUGGCGCGCGGAACCGGCGCACGCGCCUAGCUGGUGGGACCGUUAGCUCGAGGCGGACGCGGCCCGGACCCCGUGGAUAUGGAGCAGUGGCCGCCGCCGGCGCCCGAGCCGGCCCAAGGGCCGACCCCCGCAAGGAGCUGAAGGCGGCGGGAGACCGAGUCGGCGCCGUCAAAGAAGAUGGCCACGGAGACAGCAGCGUGGUCAGAGUGGUAGGAGCCGGCCAUCAGCGAGAGCUGCUCCAUGCCUGGCUGCUGGGUGCUACAGCCUGUGGCCCACUGGCUUGCCUCACUGUGGUUGGUGGUGGCGGUGACAGAGACUGCAGCACGACCAAAGUGGCUUUUCUGGCUUUGCCCGCCCAGCUGCUCCAUGCCAGGAGGAGGAGGAGACACCUAGAGCCUGCGACACCACGGCUCGCCUCGCUGCGGGAGGGUGGCAUCAACGGAGACUGCAGUGCACCAGAGUGUUCUAGAGUGUAUGAAGAACCAAAUGAUGUAAUUGUAUGCGACCUGGCUGUAGUGGAACAAAUUUGACUCUAAAGUAUGCAGGCUCUAAUUUUCCUGUCUGGUUUUGCCCCCACAUCACCCAACCAACCAGCAGAGAUCCUCCUUCCCAAGAAACAGAUAAAGAAACUGAGGCCCAGGAAGGCUAAGAGUCCUGCCAGGAUUAUUCACCUUUCAAGCAGCCAAGCAAGCACUGGCUGUGAGAGAUGGCUGUGAGAGAAGAUUAAAACAAUUACAACUCACCCAGUUCACAGAUGCUGAGUAACUGAUCUCCUGCCCCACUAACCUUAACGACAGCUUUCUCUGGACAAGGGACUGAUUUCAGUAACUUUCUCCUGAUAAGAGACCAUCCUCCAUGGACUGGUUCUGGCCAGUUUUAGAGGCUGUGCCUUUACGAGGCUGAGUACCUUCAUGUCCCUGCUUCACUUUUUGAUGUGUAGGGCCUAAUUAUAAUACAUUUAAAUGUCAAGUCUCCACCCCAGAAUGAACAUGCAUGUUUAUUGAAUAUGCAUGUGUUAGGACCUCUUUUAUGAGUAUUCUCAUAAAAUGAUAUAGCUCCUCUGAUAUCCUAUUGAGUAUGUAUAUGUAGCCAACUCAUUUGGCUCAAAUUCCUGUCCUCUCCCUCCCUCCCUGGAAAUGCCUGCCUCUGGCCUUGGCUGUAGGCCACACUUCCCAGCCUGUCAUAAUGGCCACCUUGCAGACUGCAAACCUUUAUAAGAAAUAAAGCUCUCUUUUCUAAAUUUAUAAAAUUGUGUGAUUUUUCAGUUGAUGC